AUUUGAGUUUGAUCCUGGCUCAGAGUGAACGCUAGUAGUGUGCUUUAUACAUGCGAGUUAAAUAUUUUUUAUAAAAAUAUAGCGGACGGGUGAGUAAUUUAUAAGAAUUUACCUGCUACUCCAGAAUUAGAAUACUGGAUAUUUUAAAGGUUUAUACUAGUAGCAGAUACGCUUGUAAAAGAUUAGGUAGUAGGUAAGAUGAUAGCUUACCUAGCUUACGAUCUUUAGUUGAUUUGAAAGAGUGAUCAACCACACUGGGACUGAGACAAGGCCCAGGCCCUAUUUUGGGCCAGCAGUAAGGAAUAUUGGACAAUGGGCUAACGCCUGAUCCAGCAAUACUAUGUGAGGGAUGACAGCUUAUUUUGGUUGUAAACCUCUUUUAUUAGGGAAGAUAAUGACUUAACUAAAAAAAAAGUCCCGGCUAACUUCGUGCCAGCAGCCGCGGUAAUACGGAGGGGGCAAGCGUUAUUCAGUUUAAUUUGGUGUAAAGGGUUCGUAGGUUGUAUUUAGGUUGUUUAAAUUAAAAUCAAGAGACUUAACCUCUUUAAUAUUUUUAAAAACACUUUUACUAGAGUAUAAAAAAAGAUUAUAGAAUUUUAAGGGUAGAGAUAAAAUUCUAAGAUCCUUAAAGGAACACCAAAAGCGAAAGCAAUAGUCUUGUUUAUUACUGACACUGAGGAACGAAAGGAUAGGGAGCAAACAGGAUUAGUGACCCUGGUAGUCUAUCCCGUAAACUAUGAGUGCUGAUAUUUAGAAUUUAAAAUUUUGGGUAUUAAGUUAACACGUUAAGCACUCCACCUGAGGAGUAUAGUCGCAAGGCUGGAACUCAAAGGAAUUGACGGGGGCCUAUACAAGUGGUGGAGCAUGUGGUUUAAUGCGAUAAUACGCGCGAAAUCUUACCAGUCUUUGAUUUUAAAAAAUAUUCAACAAGUAGUUUUUGUUAUAAUGUUUUUUUUACAGGUGUUGCAUGGCUGUCGUCAGCUCGUGUUGUGAAAUGUU
Molecule: ribosomal RNA, 999 nt
Filed under: Pteridomonas danica
Lineage: Eukaryota; Dictyochophyceae; Pedinellales
Description: partial Bacterial small subunit ribosomal RNA
Rfam family: Bacterial small subunit ribosomal RNA
Source: RNAcentral